GCCGCAGACCGCCUUAUCGUUCCGAUUUAUCGGGAAGGAAAGUCCGGACACCACAGAGUAGCAUAGCGGGUAACGCCCGUCCGUCGAGAGAUGAGGACAAGUGCAACAGAAAGUAUGUACAGGUAAGGCUGUAGUGAAACCAGGUAAACUCUAUGCGGUGAAAUUCCAAGUAUAUCGGCAUUUAAGGGUUACUCGCCCGUUGUCGAAGGGUAGGAAGCUCGAGCCAAUGAGCAAUUGUUGGCCCAGAUAAAUGAUAAGGGUUCGUUUCGAUGAAUACAGAAUCCGGCUUAUAGGUCUGCUUUUUUU
Molecule: RNase P RNA, 306 nt
Filed under: Flavobacterium rivulicola
Lineage: Bacteria; Pseudomonadati; Bacteroidota; Flavobacteriia; Flavobacteriales; Flavobacteriaceae
Description: Flavobacterium sp. IMCC34852 Bacterial RNase P class A
Rfam family: Bacterial RNase P class A
About the family: Ribonuclease P (RNase P) is a ubiquitous endoribonuclease, found in archaea, bacteria and eukarya as well as chloroplasts and mitochondria. Its best characterised activity is the generation of mature 5'-ends of tRNAs by cleaving the 5'-leader elements of precursor-tRNAs.
Source: Rfam by way of RNAcentral